GUUUAACCGCGUUAGGGAUUGUAGUGAAAAGCCCACAGCGUAGCGAGGACUUGUAACGGAAAGCCCGACCCAAA
Molecule: small RNA, 74 nt
Filed under: Flavobacterium sp. 102
Lineage: Bacteria; Pseudomonadati; Bacteroidota; Flavobacteriia; Flavobacteriales; Flavobacteriaceae
Description: Flavo-1 RNA
Source: RNAcentral